RNAcentral lists this ribosomal RNA (309 nucleotides) under uncultured eukaryote. RNAcentral describes it as "partial 18S ribosomal RNA". It matches the Rfam family "Eukaryotic small subunit ribosomal RNA", at positions 1470 to 1796 of the family's 1831-position model. The record is from RNAcentral.
CCCUUAGAUGUUCUGGGCGGCCCGCGCACUACAUUGGCACUAGCAAAGAGAUCCUAGAUUGAAUUCUUUGGGGUAUUCUUCUAAAUGGUGUCGUGACUGGGAUAAAUCCUUGUAAUUAUUGGUUUUGAACGAGGAAUUCCUUGUAAUCGCGGUUUAUCAGCUCGCGUUGAAUGCGUCCCUGCCCUUUGUACACACCGCCCGUCGCUCCUACCGACGGAUCGUCCGGUGAAGCUCACGGAGUGACUGUUCACGCAACGGUUUACGAAGUGAAAUGGACCUCACGAUUUAGAGGAAGGAGAAGUCGUAACA